GACGAACGCUGGCGGCGUGCUUAACACAUGCAAGUCGAACGGAAAGGCCCUGUUUUGGUGGGGGGCUCGAGGGGAGAACGGGUGAAUAACACGUGAGUAACCUGCCCUUUACGUGGUGAUAACGUCAGGAACCUGGGACUACUACCUGCUAGGUGCUCCUGCUGCAUGGUGGGCGUUGGAAAGUUUCGGCGGUUGGGGAUGGACUCGCGGCUUAUCAGCUUGUUGGUGGGGUAGUUGCUUACCAAGGCUUCGACGGGUAGCCGGCCUGAGAGGGUGACCGGCCCCAAUGGGACUGAGAUACGGCCCAGACUCCUACGGGAGGCAGCAGUGGGGAAUAUUGCACAAUGGGCGGAAGCCUGAUGCAGCAACGCCGCGUGCGGGAUGACGGCCUUCGGGUUGUAAACCGCUUUCGCCUGUGACGAAGCGUGAGUGACGGUAAUGGGUAAAGAAGCACCGGCUAACUACGUG
RNAcentral lists this ribosomal RNA (468 nucleotides) under uncultured bacterium. RNAcentral's name for it is "partial 16S ribosomal RNA". It matches the Rfam family "Bacterial small subunit ribosomal RNA", at positions 28 to 507 of the family's 1533-position model. The record is from RNAcentral.